This 507-nucleotide ribosomal RNA is filed under the name uncultured bacterium. Its description in RNAcentral is "bacterial SSU rRNA". It matches the Rfam family "Bacterial small subunit ribosomal RNA", at positions 28 to 579 of the family's 1533-position model. The record is from RNAcentral.
AACGAACGCUGGCGGCAGGCCUCAAACAUGCAAGUCGAGGGGGCGUAGCAAUACGUCACCGGCGGACGGGUGCGUAACACGUGGGAAUGUACCUAAUGGUUCGGAACAACGCUUGGAAACGAGUGCUAAUACCGGAUGAGCCCGCAAGGGGAAAGAUUUAUCGCCAUUAGAUCAGCCCGCGUAGGAUUAGCUAGUUGGUGAGGUAAUGGCUCACCAAGGCGACGAUCCUUAGCUGUUCUGAGAGGAAGAUCAGCCACACUGGGACUGAGACACGGCCCAGACUCCUACGGGAGGCAGCAGUUGGGAAUCUUGGACAAUGGGGGAAACCCUGAUCCAGCCAUGCCGCGUGAGUGAUGAAGGCCUUAGGGUUGUAAAGCUCUUUUGCCCGGGAAGAUAAUGACUGUACCGGGAGAAUAAGCUCCGGCUAACUUCGUGCCAGCAGCCGCGGUAAUACGAAGGGGGCUAGCGUUGUUCGGAAUUACUGGGCGUAAAGCGUGCGCAGGCGGC